Molecule: ribosomal RNA, 274 nt
Filed under: uncultured bacterium
Lineage: Bacteria
Description: partial 16S ribosomal RNA
Rfam family: Bacterial small subunit ribosomal RNA
Source: RNAcentral
AUACGGAGGGUGCAAGCGUUAUCCGGAAUCAUUGGGUUUAAAGGGUCCGCAGGCGGAUUAAUAAGUCAGUGGUGAAAUCCUCUCGCUCAACGAGAGAACUGCCAUUGAAACUGUUAGUCUUGAAUUCGGUCGAAGUAGGCGGAAUGUGUCAUGUAGCGGUGAAAUGCAUAGAUAUGACACAGAACACCGAUAGCGAAGGCAGCUUACUAGACCUGGAUUGACGCUCAUGGACGAAAGCGUGGGGAGCGAACAGGAUUAGAAACCCGAGUAGUCC